AAGGAUUUAAGUUAAAAAAAAACUAAUAACCUUCAAAGUUAAAAAUAGGGACUAAUUUCCUAAGCCUUA
Molecule: transfer RNA, 69 nt
Filed under: Arhopalus unicolor
Lineage: Eukaryota; Metazoa; Arthropoda; Insecta; Coleoptera; Cerambycidae
Description: tRNA-Trp
Source: RNAcentral